Molecule: ribosomal RNA, 435 nt
Filed under: uncultured Flavobacterium sp.
Lineage: Bacteria; Pseudomonadati; Bacteroidota; Flavobacteriia; Flavobacteriales; Flavobacteriaceae
Description: bacterial SSU rRNA
Rfam family: Bacterial small subunit ribosomal RNA
Source: RNAcentral
GGAAUAUUGGACAAUGGGCGCAAGCCUGAUCCAGCCAUGCCGCGUGCAGGAUGACGGUCCUAUGGAUUGUAAACUGCUUUUAUACGAGAAGAAACACUACUUCGUGAAGUAGCUUGACGGUAUCGUAAGAAUAAGGAUCGGCUAACUCCGUGCCAGCAGCCGCGGUAAUACGGAGGAUCCAAGCGUUAUCCGGAAUCAUUGGGUUUAAAGGGUCCGUAGGCGGUUUAAUAAGUCAGUGGUGAAAGCCCAUCGCUCAACGGUGGAACGGCCAUUGAUACUGUUAGACUUGAAUUAUUAGGAAGUAACUAGAAUAUGUAGUGUAGCGGUGAAAUGCUUAGAGAUUACAUGGAAUACCAAUUGCGAAGGCAGGUUACUACUAAUUGAUUGACGCUGAUGGACGAAAGCGUGGGUAGCGAACAGGAUUAGAUACCCGAG